UAACGAUGGCCACACUGUCUCCUCCCGAGACUCAGCGAAGUUGAAGUGUUUGUGAUGAUGCAAUCUACCCGCCGCUAGCCGGAAAGACCCCAUGAACCUUUACUGUAGCUUUGCAUGGGACUUUGAACCGAUCUGUGUAGGAUAGGUGGGAGGCUAUGAAACCGGAACGCUAGUUUCGGUGGAGCCGUCCUUGACAUACCACCCUGGUUUGUUUGAGGUUCUAACCUUGGCCCGUGAUCCGGGUCGGGGACAGUGCAUGGUAGGCAGUUUGACUGGGGCGGUCUCCUCCUAAAGCGUAACGGAGGAGUACGAAGGUACGCUAGGUACGGUCGGAAAUCGUGCUGAUAGUGCAAUGGCAUAAGCGUGCUUAACUGCGAGA
This 379-nucleotide ribosomal RNA is filed under the name Burkholderia cenocepacia. RNAcentral describes it as "partial 23S ribosomal RNA". It matches the Rfam family "Bacterial large subunit ribosomal RNA", at positions 2002 to 2380 of the family's 2925-position model. Lineage: Bacteria; Pseudomonadati; Pseudomonadota; Betaproteobacteria; Burkholderiales; Burkholderiaceae. The record is from RNAcentral.